GCAGGGCCCUCCCCCCAAGGCUGAGGUGGGUUAGCCCAUGGCAGGGGUAUGGUGCAUGCAGUGAGCUGUGCCAGGUCUCAGCAGGGCCCUCCCCCCAAGGCUGAGGUGGGUUAGCCCAUGGCAGGGGAAUGGUGCAUGCAGUGAGCUGUGGCAGGUCUCAGCAGGGCCCUCCCCCCAAGGCUGAGGUGGGUUAGCCCAUGGCAGGGGGAUGGUGCAUGCAGUGAGCUGUGCCAGGUCUCAGCAGGGGAUGGACGCGAUGAGGUGGGGUGGUCUGUCGCUUUUGCAGCAUUCCCGAGACCUUCAGCGGGGAAAAUCCCUCCUCUGGUUACACUGGCGGAGGGUACGCGGGGGGAAGGGCAGCCAGCUCGCCGUUGCCAUUGGCUGCUGUCGCUGUCCAUCCGACCAUUGAGACCAAUGAUAGCACAAGGCAAGUGGAAGAGCACGAGAGCAGGGGGAGUGAGCCCCAACCUUGGCCACCCCAGCCACUACAAUGACAUACCACUCCGCCUCUUGGAGUCCUUCCGGGCAAUCGG
This is a long non-coding RNA of Gopherus flavomarginatus (Mexican gopher tortoise), 533 nucleotides long. RefSeq lists it as uncharacterized. The record is from RefSeq and is a predicted model, not a curated record. The transcript is spliced from 4 exons. Lineage: Eukaryota; Metazoa; Chordata; Testudines; Testudinidae.